UACGGGGGGGGCAAGCGUUGUUCGGAAUUACUGGGCGUAAAGGGCCAGUAGGCGGCCAACUAAGUCCGACGUGAAAUCCCCAGGCUUAACCUGGGAACUGCGUCGGAUACUGGAUGGCUUGAAUUCGGGAGAGGGAUGCGGAAUUCCAGGUGUAGCGGUGAAAUGCGUAGAUAUCUGGAGGAACACCGGUGGCGAAGGCGGCAUCCUGGACCGGCAUUGACGCUGAGGCGCGAAAGCUAGGGGAGCAAACGGG
This 253-nucleotide ribosomal RNA is filed under the name uncultured bacterium. RNAcentral's name for it is "partial 16S ribosomal RNA". It matches the Rfam family "Bacterial small subunit ribosomal RNA", at positions 524 to 776 of the family's 1533-position model. The record is from RNAcentral.